This 322-nucleotide long non-coding RNA is filed under the name Mytilus galloprovincialis (Mediterranean mussel). The record is from RNAcentral. Lineage: Eukaryota; Metazoa; Mollusca; Bivalvia; Mytilida; Mytilidae.
AAAAAAAUAAUUCUCUCUUGAUUUUUCAUAGCUUUAUCAUUGACAAGUUAAAGUUCUCAAAAACUAUUAAAAAAUAAAUAAGAUUUUAUAAAACUUUUACAAAUUCCUCAAAUCUUGACAAAAAAUCCAAAACAUGACAAGCGAACAUCCUUAAUAUAAAUCAAUUCAUAUGUAUAUGUAUGUCAAGCCUUUUAACAACCUUAUGAUCCACAUAGUUAUAUCAGUAGGAAGUAACAAAUAUAAACGUGCAUUACACAUUUGAAUGUUUAGAUAAAAGUUGAAAUGCAAAUGUAAAAUAUAUUAUACUGUACCAAAAACAGGG